This 2538-nucleotide long non-coding RNA is filed under the name Homo sapiens (human). RNAcentral describes it as "HSALNT0097626". The record is from RNAcentral. Lineage: Eukaryota; Metazoa; Chordata; Mammalia; Primates; Hominidae.
GAGAGAUUUGGGGCUUUAAGAUCAGAAAAACCUGGGUUUAAAUCCUGGCUCAGCCAAUACUAAGCUUUGUGACUUUGGCCAAGCCAGUCUCUGAUCCUCAAUAUCCUUACCUGUAAAAUGGGGGUAACAAUAACUUCCCCAAGGGUAUCUUAUGAACCUAUGUUAGGUGGUAUUGAGUCCAUGGUAGAUGCCAAGCAGUGUAGAUUUCUUCUCUUUUCUGGAUGCUGUUCCCUCUGAGCCCAGUGCCUGCCUGGAAAACUUUCCCACAGGAUCCUUCUCCAACUCGGCUGCCCACUGCUAAUGCUGCCAUCGAAGGAAAGAAGCCCUAAUGGUAGGAAACUGGGCACUUGGCAUGUGCAGUCAAGGCUAGUGUGGAAGGAAGAGGCAUCCCAGCACCUGUCAGAUAACUCCCAGGAGGGGCUGGAAUCCCUGUGGGUCAGCAGUUUGGAGAACAUUGAGGCUGUGGUCAGUUUGGAACUGACCCAGCUCAGCUCUACCUACAGACUGCACCUGGAGGGAGGGUGACCAGGUGCAUGUCGCUGUAGCCCACCCCACUCCACACCACUCCAGGAUUUGGGAAUAAGAUUGCACUCUGAGAGUUAAACUUAAAAAAUAAAUUAAUAUCCAGGAUUGUAUCUGAGAGCUCUCAAACUGGCCUGAGACUGCAGGAACACAUUAAUGUAUUUAAAGUAACAACUAAACAAGGAACUCCCGUCCUCUGACUCCACUUUUGAUUGUAACCUGGCUUCCAUGUGGCUUCCAAGGAGAGCGGGUCCCAGCGAAGGGAGAGGAGUGUCUGUUUCCACUGUCAGUUCCAUUUCCCAAGAUAUUACCAAAUCCAUCUAUUGAACAACUGUAAAUCUGGGCUGGCAAGAAUAGUGAUGAGAUGGGUGGCUGCUGGGAAUAUGCACAGACCAUGUCUCAUCCUGUGGCAACCCACAGCAAGCACAGGCUGAGUUGCCACAUCAGGUGGCAGUGGAGAAACUUCCCACUGUUUCUCCUUUGAACCCAGCUGGACACCACCCUGAAGUUCCAGUACAUGGAGAUAGCCAGUAAAUGAACAAUUGAUGACCUGUGUUGAAGAGAGAGGGCAUGUUGCCUAGGGUAAUGGCCACCAGCAAACACAACCCUCUGGAUGAAAGACUGUUGAUCAUCUCAGUCCGUGGAACAGAACAGGGGGUCUGUGGGUGGUGGACACCAGAAGCAUAGGGCCUGGAACAUUAGUGAACAGACAUAACAACUGAUGGCCACUAAGGACAUUUCCUGGCUCUGGCUCCUCUGCCCUUAAGAAUCCGGACAGUCCAUGAGCACUGUUACGGGCCAUCUCUUAGCUGAAGAAGUCAACUGGGCAUUACCCUCCACUGGAACAUGAACUUCCAGAUGCAAGGAGUGCAGUCAGUUCAUCUGAGAAUGUAUAUCCGCCUGCCCAGAGGCAGGGAGAAGAUGGCAAGGUGCUAUCCUCUCCAGGAUUCAGCUCUGAAGCCUCUUAACUGUGCACUUAAUAAAUGAAGCCUUGGCAGACACACCUUGAAUUAUUAAUGAAGUUAUUCAGCUUUGAUUGUUUCCUUCUUUUGGGGAAAGGUUAUUCACUCAAAUGCCUUUGAUUAGACUACACAAUACAUCACAAUUGGGCAUAUUUUAUGUGCAACUUUAUGGCGAUAAUAGUUCUGUCUCAUUUAGAAGCAAAUCAGACAUUAUGAACUUCGUGAUUUAUUAAUGUAUUGAUUUCUAUAAAUGUCAGCGCAUCUCACAUCCUGCCAGAGAGCCCGGGAGCAAUCAGUGAAAGGCCAAUAAAAAUGUAAAAUGAAACCAUCAUAAAAAGAGGAAAUACUGCCUGUUUCCAAGCCCUGCUGCCUCUCUAUAUUGUCUCAGGGUCUACAUCAUUACCAUGAAGGCAUCCCCCCACCUACAAGGAAACAGCCUUGAUGGUGGGGGAGGGGGCUCUAUCCUGCUUAAAUCUAUUUUAAAUAAAAAGAAGGUUGUAUGGCAGGAGAAAUAAAAAACAAGAGGUGAAGAGUGGGACCUGGAGGGGCCCCAGGGCUAGUGCCUAGAUUCCUCACCCUGGAGAAAGCAGGAGGAGGAGGAGGAAUCCCUUUCCAUCAGAUUCACCCCACAACAACCCCCCACCUUCCUGCUGAGGAACCUUCAAGACAGAGCCUAGAUUUUCCUGCUGGCGCUGAAGAGUCCACGCUAGGGCCCUGGUCUACCUUUCCAGACGAUUCCCCAAUUCUGAGCCCAGUACAUUUCAGCCUUAUACUUUACAGAGUACUUUCACAUUGCUUAACCCCUGUGAGGUAUGCAUAAUAUUAUUCUCAUUUUACCGAAGAGAAGACGGAGGCUCAGAGAAGAAAGAGAAAAGGUGACACUUCUGAGCACUGCCUAUUUGCAGAGCACUGUGACAUGUACUUUGCUUACAUGAUCUCACUUAAUUCUCUCAUAGCUUUAAUUGUUGAUUUCUUAUUAGCUAAUUAUUGUUCCUAUUUUAUUAGGAGAAAUUGAAUCAGCAAUUUCAGGAGGCAUCCUUGGGGUCACAGAGAC